CGGCGGAACACGUGAAAUUCCGUCGGAAUCCGGGAGGACCAUCUCCCAAGGCUAAAUACUCCCUAGUGACCGAUAGUGAACCAGUACCGUGAGGGAAAGGUGAAAAGCACCCCGGAAGGGGAGUGAAACAGUUCCUGAAACCGUGUGCCUACAAGUAGUUAGAGCCCGUUAAUGGGUGAUAGCGUGCCUUUUGUAGAAUGAACCGGCGAGUUACGAUUUGUUGCAAGGUUAAGCGGAAAAAGCGGAGCCGUAGCGAAAGCGAGUCUGAAUAGGGCGCAUAAGUAACAGGUCGUAGACCCGAAACCAGGUGAUCUACCCAUGUCCAGGAUGAAGGUAAGGUAAUACUUACUGGAGGUCCGAACCCACGCACGUUGAAAAGUGCGGGGAUGAGGUGUGGGUAGCGGAGAAAUUCCAAUCGAACUUGGAGAUAGCUGGUUCUCUCCGAAAUAGCUUUAGGGCUAGCCUCGAGGUAAAGAGUCAU
RNAcentral lists this ribosomal RNA (481 nucleotides) under Listeria monocytogenes. RNAcentral describes it as "partial 23S ribosomal RNA". It matches the Rfam family "Bacterial large subunit ribosomal RNA", at positions 415 to 898 of the family's 2925-position model. The record is from RNAcentral. Lineage: Bacteria; Bacillati; Bacillota; Bacilli; Caryophanales; Listeriaceae.